This 246-nucleotide ribosomal RNA is filed under the name uncultured Lactobacillus sp. RNAcentral's name for it is "partial 16S ribosomal RNA". It matches the Rfam family "Bacterial small subunit ribosomal RNA", at positions 116 to 354 of the family's 1533-position model. The record is from RNAcentral. Lineage: Bacteria; Bacillati; Bacillota; Bacilli; Lactobacillales; Lactobacillaceae.
CGUGGGUAACCUGCCCAAGAGAUCGGGAUAACACCUGGAAACAGAUGCUAAUACCGGAUAACAACAGAUGAUGCCUAUCAACUGUUUAAAAGAUGGUUCUGCUAUCACUCUUGGAUGGACCUGCGGUGCAUUAGCUAGUUGGUAGGGUAACGGCCUACCAAGGCGAUGAUGCAUAGCCGAGUUGAGAGACUGAUCGGCCACAUUGGGACUGAGACACGGCCCAAACUCCUACGGGAGGCAGCAGGG